UGUUUUUAUAUGAUAGCAGCACAUUUUUUCAUAUAAUCGUAUUUUAUUAUAUUGUCAGAUUUUCAGUUUUCAACUUUGCCUCCCCCCACUUUCAUUCAUAGAAUGAUGUCUUUUAGAGUCUACGGCCAUGAAAUAUGCUUCUGCGGUCUUUGAACUAUGCUUUUCUAAA
Molecule: microRNA precursor, 169 nt
Filed under: Mustela putorius furo (domestic ferret)
Lineage: Eukaryota; Metazoa; Chordata; Mammalia; Carnivora; Mustelidae
Description: miRNA (ENSMPUG00000020574.1)
Source: RNAcentral